CCUACGGGUGGCAGCAGUAGGGAAUAUUGCUCAAUGGGGGAGACCCUGAAGCAGCAAAGCCGCGUGGAGGAUGAAGGUUUUCGGAUUGUAAACUCCUUUUUUUAGAGAAGAUAAUGACGGUAUCUAACCAAUACGCACCGGCUGACUCCGGGACAGCAGCCGCGGUAAUUCGGCGGGUGCAAGCGUUACUCGGAAUCACUGGGUGUAAAGAGCGCGUAGGCGGGAUAGCAAGUCAGAUGUGAAAGCCUAGGGCUUAACCAUAGAAGUGCAGUUGAAACUGGUAUUCUAGAGUAUGGGAGAGGUAGGUGGAAUUCUUGGUGUAGGGGUAAAAUGCGUAGAGAUCAAGAAGAAUACUCAUUGCGAAGGCGACCUGCUAGAACAUAACUGACGCUGAUGCGCGAAAGCGUGGGGAGCAAACAGGAUUAGAUACCCGUGUAGUC
Molecule: ribosomal RNA, 440 nt
Filed under: uncultured bacterium
Lineage: Bacteria
Description: partial 16S ribosomal RNA
Rfam family: Bacterial small subunit ribosomal RNA
Source: RNAcentral